RNAcentral lists this ribosomal RNA (479 nucleotides) under uncultured bacterium. RNAcentral's name for it is "partial 16S ribosomal RNA". It matches the Rfam family "Bacterial small subunit ribosomal RNA", at positions 28 to 523 of the family's 1533-position model. The record is from RNAcentral.
GACGAACGCUGGCGGCGUGCUUAACACAUGCAAGUCGAACGGUAAGGCCCUUCGGGGUACACGAGUGGCGGACGGGUGAGUAACACGUGGGUGAUCUGCCCUGCACUUCGGGAUAAGCCUGGGAAACUGGGUCUAAUACCGGAUAGGACCCUGGGAUGCAUGUCCUGGGGUGGAAAGCUUUUGCGGUGUGGGAUGGGCCCGCGGCCUAUCAGCUUGUUGGUGGGGUGAUGGCCUACCAAGGCGACGACGGGUAGCCGGCCUGGGAGGGUGACCGGCCACACUGGGACUGAGAUACGGCCCAGACUCCUACGGGAGGCAGCAGUGGGGAAUAUUGCACAAUGGGCGCAAGCCUGAUGCAGCGACGCCGCGUGAGGGAUGACGGCCUUCGGGUUGUAAACCUCUUUCAGCACCGACGAAGCGCAAGUGACGGUAGGUGCAGAAGAAGGACCGGCCAACUACGUGCCAGCCGCCCGCCGUAA